RNAcentral lists this unclassified non-coding RNA (151 nucleotides) under soil metagenome. RNAcentral describes it as "partial internal transcribed spacer 1". The record is from RNAcentral.
CCGAGUUUACAACUCCCUAACCCCUGUGAACAUACUAAUUGUUGCCUCGGCGGAUCAGCCCGCUCCCGGUAAAACGGGACGGCCCGCCAGAGGACCCCUAAACUCUGUUUUCUAUAUGUUAACUUCUGAGUAAAAACCAUAAAAUAAAUCA